GUGCAGCAGGCGCGAAACCUCCGCAAUACACGAAAGUGUGACGGGGCCAUCCCGAGUGCCGUCCGCUGAGGACGGCUUUUCCCCAGUGUACACAGCUGGGGGAAUAAGGAGAGGGCAAGCCUGGUGUCAGCCGCCGCGGUAAUACCAGCUCUCCGAGUGGUGGGGACGCUUAUUGGGCCUAAAGCAUCCGUAGCCGGCUGGGCAAGUCCUCCGUUAAAUCCAACGAUUCAAUCGUUGGGCUGCGGGGGAUACUGUCCAGCUUGGGGGCGGGAGAGGCCGACGGUAUUCCCGGGGUAGGGGUGAAAUCCUAUAAUCCCGGGAGGACCACCAGUGGCGAAGGCUGUCGGCUAGAACGCGCCCGACGGUGAGGGGAUGAAAGCUGGGGGAGCGAACCGGAUUAGAUACCCCU
This 409-nucleotide ribosomal RNA is filed under the name uncultured microorganism. Its description in RNAcentral is "bacterial SSU rRNA". It matches the Rfam family "Archaeal small subunit ribosomal RNA", at positions 330 to 740 of the family's 1478-position model. The record is from RNAcentral.